Molecule: long non-coding RNA, 968 nt
Organism: Frankliniella occidentalis (western flower thrips)
Lineage: Eukaryota; Metazoa; Arthropoda; Insecta; Thysanoptera; Thripidae
Exons: 4
Source: RefSeq, a predicted model, not a curated record
UUUAUUUGUUGCUGUAAGUUUUUUGAACAUAGCCAAAAUGGAUAGUUUUGAAUUGUUAUUUCGACAGAAACAGUGACUGGAAGAAGGCCUCAUUGAAAAUCUAAAGAUGUACGCAUUAGACCAUCAAAAAUGACUUUGGACAAGAGAAAACUUUGUUGAUGUGUGAAGAAUGCUUCUAUAAGUUUCACAGAUGAGAGGUGAAUAUGCCAGUGAAAUUGUCUUGCUUAGGAUUCUAUAGAUAUUAUAAAUAUCUUUGAUCACAAAAGAUGUAAAACACCUUUUUUGAUCCCACAAGAUAGAGAGUGGAGAUCCAAAUACAGAGAAGGUUCAUAUAGCAGAAAGGAUAUACUUAUAGGUUUUCUCAGUUUGAGGGAGUGGGUCUCAGAUGUGAAUGUGCCACUUGCCAUGAAAUGCACUUUCUCUGAAAAUUUGCUAGUAGAAAACCUUAUGGAAAGCAGCGUAUGUCUUGCUAAUACCAAAAAAGUUUUCUGUAAUUGGAUUUUCAUGGUAUGACUUGAUGGUGUCUACUACACGCUUAGAUGAGAUAACAAGCUGGAAACUUUUUUUAUCUGGAUCUAGGCUAGAAUGUUUAAGUUUCCAAUACAAAAUUCCAUCAUGAAGAAUGAAAGACUGAUAUUGUAAUCAGAGAGAUCUUGUUUGUGGACUAUGAGCAACAAUGUCUUGAAAGUCACUUCAACACGGGCUAACUGGUCUUCUGGACUGAUCAUCAGCUCCAACAUUUUUGCUGCAUUUAAUGAAGGAAAUUUUGAAACUGUAAGGAGCUAAUCUGCUGAUCUACCUUGCUAAAAGUCCAGAAGGAUUUUUGAAGUUUUGAAGCCACUGCAACUUUGCAUGAUACGUUUGAUUGUAUCAAAAGCUUUGUUACAUUCUGAAUUGCACUUGAAAAGCACUACAUAUUUCAUUAAUUUGUUUAAUGAUAGAGAUAACGUUGCCUGAUGUGGAAUAUA